RNAcentral lists this ribosomal RNA (495 nucleotides) under uncultured Sphingobacteriales bacterium. Its description in RNAcentral is "bacterial SSU rRNA". It matches the Rfam family "Bacterial small subunit ribosomal RNA", at positions 886 to 1382 of the family's 1533-position model. The record is from RNAcentral. Lineage: Bacteria; Pseudomonadati; Bacteroidota; Sphingobacteriia; Sphingobacteriales.
AGCCCGCUCAGAAACUCAAAGGAAUUGACGGGGGCCCCGCACAAGCGGUGGAGCAUGUGGUUUAAUUCGAUGAUACGCGAGGAACCUUACCUGGGCUCAAAUGUAUGUUGACGUAUUCUGAAAGGGAUACUUCUUCGGACAAUAUACAAGGUGCUGCAUGGUUGUCGUCAGCUCGUGCCGUGAGGUGUCGGGUUAAGUCCCAUAACGAGCGCAACCCCUAUCAUUAGUUGCCAUCAGGUCAAGCUGGGGACUCUAAAGGAACUGCCUACGCAAGUAGUGAGGAAGGCGGGGAUGACGUCAAAUCAGCACGGCCCUUACGUCCAGGGCUACACACGUGCUACAAUGGCCGAUACAGAGGGCAGCUACCUGGUGACAGGAUGCAAAUCUCCAAAGUCGGUCUCAGUUCGGAUCGGAGUCUGCAACCCGACUCCGUGAAGUUGGAUUCGCUAGUAAUCGCGCAUCAGCCAUGGCGCGGUGAAUACGUUCCCGGGCCUU